This is a long non-coding RNA of Passer montanus (Eurasian tree sparrow), 1857 nucleotides long. RefSeq lists it as uncharacterized. The transcript is spliced from 2 exons. The record is from RefSeq and is a predicted model, not a curated record. Lineage: Eukaryota; Metazoa; Chordata; Aves; Passeriformes; Passeridae.
GAAAAAAAGAAAAAAACAUUCUUAAGCAGUUUGAUGUGAGUCUUUGAAGACAGAAUUCAAGGGACCAAUAUUGUUUCCCCCCUUCUCAAUGCAGGAAGCCCUGUCCCAAUCUGUAUUGGCCCAAAUACUCUGAAUUCUUAUUUCUCACCUUAGAGGCUAAAAGAAGGAAACAAAACAAGAGAAACCCAACAAAAGCCUCUGUACUCUGUACUUGAGUGCUAUUCAGAAGUGCACGACCUUUUGCCAGCAGUGUUUUUGAGUAUGAUCUUGGCUGAUGUUUGUAUGGACUAUAAUAUGCUUUUGCAGCAUGCUUUGAACACCCCUAACGAAAUCAUCUUCUCUGCCAAACUAAAAACCCCUCCAACCUGUCUCUCAAUUGAAAAAGAACUUAGACAGGAACCAGACGUUCGCUCUGCAGGUACUUCUUCUACACAGACACGAGCACCUAAGGAAUUCUGCAAUACAAAACACGGAUGCUGAAUGAAUCUACACAUACUAAGGAUUAGACAGCUACUGAAACACAGACUCUGUUGGAAUUAUGUUCCACUCAGGCCCAUCCAAGUAACAGAAAUCAGUUUGAGGACACAGAAGCAGUUUAUAGGGCUUCCAGUAUGUGAGAAAAUAGCAGAUGGAUCACUCACUAAGGUCUCAGCUCACUUGCUCAAUUGACAGCAUUAUGGAAACAAUGCCGUGGUUGUGCACUGAAUCAAAUCAGUACGACACAAUUGUUCCAAAUGCACUGCAGUAACUUUGAUGAAGUGCUGCCACUGUAUAACAAGCAAAAUUAGAUCUUGCUGUCAAAACCAAAUAAAGUAGACUGAAUUCCCCUUUUUAUCUCUAGAGAUGAUGAAUGUAUCUCCUACACUUGUUGCAUGGAAUCCCUGUUUUCCAGUUCCAAUAAUGUCUCUCCAUGUGCUAUUAUCUCGCUUGUUGUGCUGUUCUUAUUCUUCAAAUUUCAUAAUUGACCAGUGCUCCACUUAGUUUUUUUUUAAACAUCUUGAUCACUUUUAACCUUUGCAGACACACUUCCAGUCUUGAAAUCCUGUCCUCUCUCAUUUCAGACAGUCCUCCUUUAUUUGGCUUCCUUCCUUAGUAAUUACUCUUUGAUUUAAUUUAGUCUUAAUUCUUUUCAGGUCACCUUCCUUGUUCCUCUCAAAUCAAGCUUACUGGGGGAAGAGGUACAACAAUUUUGGCCUUCUCUUUCCUCUAUCCUGUUCCCAACUUUAAAAACCACAAUUGACUUAUCUUCUCUAUGUUGGUGAUUUUACACAUACAAAACUCCUUCUCCAGUUUUCUACUUCUCUCUCCGCAUUGUCACACCUGUUUAUGUGCAUCCAUCUGCAAUGCCUUCUCCAAAUUCAAGUCUUUUUCACCACAGCGUGACAAAGUUGGGCACUCUGAGUAACCUGCUUCAAUUACAGGCCAAUGACAAAGGCUCACAUCUUCAAAUCUUAUUUGUCCCUACAUCUUCACACUCAAGAACCACAUCAGCAUUUUGCAGGUUUCUGCCAGUCUAAAACAUGUACUGCUUAGUCCACUUAUAUAUCUAAACUAAUCCAGGCCCUGAGCUCUUCCUUUUAAGUUGUCUUAGUCUCCUGAUUCAGAUCACCAUACAUUCAUACAAACCAUGCUACUGGCACAGCUUAAGGUGAGAUGUGGGAACAGAGAGUAACUGAAGCUACUUAAGCAGCUCUGCUAAUGUAUUAAAACCACAGUUUAUCCAUCUUCCUUUCACUAACACCUGGAUCUGCGUCUGAUGAUCUUCAGUCUGGCUCUAUUUUUGCAACUACUUCCUAUCUCAUACUUCACAAACUCUCGGAGCCAGAAUUUCAUACUGUCUGUACAAUCCCCAGAAAA